This 216-nucleotide ribosomal RNA is filed under the name Glomeromycotina sp. Its description in RNAcentral is "partial small subunit ribosomal RNA". The stretch from base 40 to 216 matches the Rfam family "Eukaryotic small subunit ribosomal RNA", at positions 686 to 864 of the family's 1831-position model. Lineage: Eukaryota; Fungi; Glomeromycota. The record is from RNAcentral.
GGGUCAGUAGGUUGGUCGUGCCACCGGUACGUACUGGUCUCACUGAUUCCUCCUUCCUGAAGAACCGUAAUGCCAUUAAUUUGGUGUUGCGGGGAAACAGGACUGUUACUUUGAAAAAAUUAGAGUGUUUAAAGCAAGUUAACGCUUGAAUACAUUAGCACGGAAUAAUGAAAUAGGACGAUCGAUCCUAUUUUGUUGGUUUCUAGGAUUGACGUA